GACGAACGCUGGCGGCGUGCUUAACACAUGCAAGUCGAACGGAAAGGCCCUGCUUUUGUGGGGUGCUCGAGUGGCGAACGGGUGAGUAACACGUGAGUAACCUGCCCUUGACUUUGGGAUAACUUCAGGAAACUGGGGCUAAUACCGGAUAGGAGCUCCUGCUGCAUGGUGGGGGUUGGAAAGUUUCGGCGGUUGGGGAUAGACUCGCGGCUUAUCAGCUUGUUGGUGGGGUAGUGGCUUACCAAGGCUUUGACGGGUAGCCGGCCUGAGAGGGUGACCGGCCACAUUGGGACUGAGAUACGGCCCAGACUCCUUCGGGAGGCAGCAGUGGGGAAUAUUGCACAAUGGGCGGAAGCCUGAUGCAGCAACGCCGCGUGCGGGAUGACGGCCUUCGGGUUGUAAACCGCUUUCGCCUGUGACGAAGCGUGAGUGACGGUAAUGGGUAAAGAAGCACCGGCUAACUACGUG
RNAcentral lists this ribosomal RNA (468 nucleotides) under uncultured bacterium. Its description in RNAcentral is "partial 16S ribosomal RNA". It matches the Rfam family "Bacterial small subunit ribosomal RNA", at positions 28 to 507 of the family's 1533-position model. The record is from RNAcentral.